This 253-nucleotide ribosomal RNA is filed under the name uncultured bacterium. RNAcentral's name for it is "partial 16S ribosomal RNA". It matches the Rfam family "Bacterial small subunit ribosomal RNA", at positions 524 to 776 of the family's 1533-position model. The record is from RNAcentral.
UACAGAGGUCCCAAGCGUUGUUCGGAUUCACUGGGCGUAAAGGGUGCGUAGGUGGUUAGGUAAGUCCGAUGUGAAAUCUCCAGGCUCAACCUGGAAAUGGCAUUGGAUACUAUUUAGCUUGAGGAGUGGAGGGGGGACUGGAAUUCUCGGUGUAGCAGUGAGAUGCGUAGAUAUCGAGAGGAACACCAGUGGCGAAGGCGAGUCCCUGGACACUUCCUGACACUGAGGCACGAAAGCUAGGGGAGCAAACAGG